ACACUAAUGGUGUAAUGGUAACAUAACCGCCUUCCAAGCAGUUGCCUAGGGUUCGAUUCCCUAUUAGUGUA
Molecule: transfer RNA, 71 nt
Filed under: Kwoniella mangroviensis CBS 8507
Lineage: Eukaryota; Fungi; Basidiomycota; Tremellomycetes; Tremellales; Cryptococcaceae
Also listed under: 2 other names
Description: tRNA-Gly (TCC) (tRNA-Gly-TCC-1-1, tRNA-Gly-TCC-1-2)
Rfam family: tRNA
About the family: Transfer RNA (tRNA) molecules are approximately 80 nucleotides in length.
Source: RNAcentral